Thunnus maccoyii (southern bluefin tuna) is the source of this 4067-nucleotide RNA transcript. It is a transcript of the gene named solute carrier family 8 member 3, with no coding region annotated. The record is from RefSeq and is a predicted model, not a curated record. NCBI's taxonomy places the organism in Eukaryota, Metazoa, Chordata, Actinopteri, Scombriformes, Scombridae. The transcript has 8 exons.
CAGCCGGCAAAGAGGAGCUACACACCGCCGUGACUACCAACAAGACCGACAUCAUAGAUUUCCUGCGCUAUCGCAGCGGAGAGAGGAGGAGGAGAGCGCUGAUUCACGGCUUGCAGGAGGAGGGAGAGCCGAGCGGACGGGCUCAGAAGAUCCAUCUCUACCAAGGGUGCAACCUUAAAAUACCGACCCCCUCCCUCCUCCUCCUCCUCCUCCCUCGUCAUUGACAGCUUUGCGACCCGGUCAAUCCGUCAGACAGGGAGGAUCUGGGGAGGAGGGCGCCAAGGCAGGAGAGGACGAAAGGCGAUCACCUCUGGCCGGUUUGAUCCAAUCGCCAAUACCGAGCAGGCUGGGGACCUGCCUCUCCGUACAUGAGGACGACACAGCGGCUUCACCGGGGGAUUUUGGUCCGAGGAACACGUUUGACUCAAGAGAUCCACACAGCGAGAUUAUAUUGAGACUGUUGUCAGGCUGAUCUGAGCGGCAAAACAAUAAUAAUAAAAGGGGGGCGGACAGGAGCUAUUUCGCAGUCUCUACAUAAACUCCCCGGAAUACAAAUCCAGGUGGUGGGUGGAGAAAAGGCACAGCCCAGUGCUGGAUCCCAGAGGGACUGUCAGUGUGGUAAGGACCCUUGAGACGAAGGAGGGUGCAUGGAGGGUUCAAGGCCUGUGAAGCCAGGGUCUUCAGCCUGCCUCUGGUUGGGGCUGGUUUCUGUGGCUGUAGCCUUCCUUUGCGCAGAAGCCCGGACCACUCCGAGCCCCCUUCAUACCCCCAGCAAUGCAACCUGCAUGGGAAACUCCAAGUGUCAUCCAGGGAUCAUCCUGCCCAUCUGGUAUCCCGAGGAUCCCUCCAUGGGAGACAAGAUCGCACGGGUCAUUGUGUAUUUUGUGGCCCUGAUCUACAUGUUUCUUGGAGUGUCCAUCAUUGCUGACCGUUUCAUGGCAGCCAUUGAGGUCAUCACUUCCCAGGAGAGGGAAAUUGUCAUCAAAAGGCCCAAUGGAGAAACAACCACCACCACGAUCCGGGUGUGGAAUGAAACAGUCUCCAACCUCACCCUCAUGGCCUUGGGCUCAUCCGCCCCUGAGAUCAUGCUCUCUGUAAUUGAGGUAUGUGGACAUGAGUUCAAAUCUGGCGAGCUCGGGCCUUCCACAAUUGUUGGCAGUGCAGCCUUCAAUAUGUUUGUUAUCAUUGGCAUCUGUGUGUCUGCCAUUCCCCAAGGAGAGGUACGCAAAAUCAAACACCUCAGAGUGUUCUUUAUCACUGCAGGCUGGAGCAUCUUUGCUUACAUUUGGCUCUACAUGAUCCUGGCUGUGUUUUCUCCCAACGUAGUCCAGGUCUGGGAGGGUCUACUCACACUGGCCUUCUUCCCCAUAUGCGUACUCCUUGCCUGGGUGGCAGACAGACGACUACUCUUCUACAAGUUCAUGCACAAGAAGUAUCGCAGCGACAAACACAGGGGUGUCAUCAUCGAGACGGAGACCGAACGCUCCAAGGGGAUUGAGAUGGAUGGCAAGAUGGUCAACUCUCACUUCAUGGAUGGCGGUGCGGCCAGCAAUCUUAUUGGUUUGAUUGAGAACAAAGAGGUAGAUGAGUCCCGGCGUGAUAUGAUCCGCAUCUUGAAAGACCUGAAGCAGAAGCACCCAGAGAAAGAGUUGGAUCAGCUGGUCGAGAUGGCCAACUAUUACGCUCUCUCGCACCAGCAAAAGAGCCGUGCCUUCUACCGCAUCCAAGCUACACGCAUGAUGACAGGCGCAGGAAAUAUUCUGAAGAAACAUGUGUCAGAGCAGGCAAAAAAGAGCUCCAGUGUGCAGGAGGUGCAUGUGGAGGAACCAGAAGAGUAUGUGUCUCGGAUCGCUUUUGAGCCUGCUGUCUACCAGUGCCUCGAGAACUGUGGCGCUGCCAUUCUGACCAUCACCAGGAAGGGUGGUGACAUCAACAAGACGAUCUACGUGGAUUAUAAGACGGAGGAUGGCUCUGCUAACGCUGGGGCUGACUACGAAUUUACAGAGGGCACGGUGGUGUUCAAACCAGGAGAGAUGAUCAAGGAAAUAAGCAUUGGCAUCAUAGACGACGACCUCUUUGAAGAGGACGAGCACUUUUUUGUGCGCCUCAGUAACCUACGUGUCCUGGAGACUGAGGACGAGGUGUUAUCCCCCAACAGUCUCCCGUAUCCAAAGGCCAUGCUGGGCUUCCCCGCUGUGGCCACUGUGACCAUUCUGGAUGACGAUCACUCGGGGAUCUUCACCUUUGAAAGCAACUCAGUGCACGUCAGUGAGAGCAUAUGCAUUAUGGAAGUGAAAGUGCUAAGGACUUCUGGAGCAAGGGGGACGGUCAUUGUGCCUUAUCGCACCGUGGAAGGACUUGCCAAAGGAGGAGGGGAGGACUUUGAAGAUACCUACGGAGAGCUUGAGUUCAAAAACGAUGAGACCUGCAAACUUAUUCACGUGAAAAUUAUUGACGAUGAGGAGUAUGAGAAAAACAAGAACUUCUUCCUGGAACUGGCCGAGCCUCGCAUGGUAGACAUGAGUCUGCAGAAAGAUGUGCCAGACAGGAAGAUGACAUCAGACGAGGAGGAAGCCAAGCGGAUCGCAGAGAUGGGAAAGCCGGUGCUGGGGGAACACUCCAAGCUGGAAGUCAUAAUUGAGGAAUCGUACGAGUUUAAGAGCACAGUGGACAAGCUGAUCAAAAAGACCAACCUGGCGCUGGUGGUGGGGACGAACUCCUGGAGAGACCAGUUCAUGGAGGCCAUUACAGUCAGUGCAGAUGAGGACGAAGAGGACACAGGAGAGGAACGGCUGCCGUCCUGUUUCGACUACGUCAUGCACUUCCUCACUGUCUUCUGGAAGGUCCUGUUUGCUUGCGUCCCUCCCACAGACUACCUGAACGGUUGGGCCUGUUUCAUCGUCUCCAUCUUCAUCAUCGGUCUGCUCACGGCCGUCAUCGGCGACCUGGCGUCUCACUUUGGCUGCACCAUCGGCCUCAAGGACUCGGUCACUGCUGUGGUUUUUGUGGCGAUUGGUACAUCUGUGCCAGACACCUUUGCCAGUAAGGUAGCAGCAGUUCAGGACACUUACGCAGACGCCUCCAUUGGGAAUGUGACCGGCAGCAACGCCGUCAACGUCUUCCUGGGAAUCGGCGUAGCCUGGUCGGUGGCGGCCAUCUACUGGCACAUGAAAGGGAAGCCGUUUGUGGUGGAAGCCGGCUCGCUGGCCUUCUCUGUCACUCUCUUCACCAUCUUCGCCUUCCUGGCAGUCUCGGUGCUGCUUUAUCGGCGCCGGGCCCACAUCGGAGGAGAACUGGGCGGGCCCCGGGGACACAGACUGGCCACGUCAGCCUUCUUGUUCAGCCUCUGGUUCCUUUACAUCCUCUUCUCCAGUCUGGAGGCCUACUGUCAUAUAGAGGGCUUCUAAACAGAAAAGACUUGAGCGUGAGAGAAUACAAACAUACAGGGGUUUAAAGUACAACUUCAGAGGUAAAAGAGUGAAUUUUCACUGUGGAAUUUGGGUCAGUCUUGUAUGGUGUGAACGGACAGGAGAGGUAAACCCGGGAUUUUCCCAGACACCUCCCUCCCUCUCCCUCUCUCUCUCCCUCAACCCCUUCUGUAAGGAUGCUUGAAGGUGCGUAUCCUGCCCUCUAGUGCCGACAGGCCUGGCUAUCGGAGAGCCAUCCUGAGCCCAUGCGAGUGUGCUUACAGUUGGGAUUGGGUUACCACCGAGUCCAGAAGAUGCCGAGGGGUGGUCCUGCAUUCCACUGGAAGAGCCUGCAGUCUUAUAUCCGGAGAGAGUUGAGUUAAUCAGAGUUUCCUAAGGAGCACUGCAGUUCUCAGAAAUCACACAAGCGAAUAAGAUGAAGAAGAAGAAGAGGAGCGACAGUGGCAGUUCAUACUGGCAGAUGAGUCACCAUUCAAACAGGCGAGGAGGAAGAGGCGGACACAGUGAACAUGGUCAAACUGCCCUGAACAUUACUUCCGUACUCUAUAUGUAUCUAUAUAUAAUAUAUUUCCAUAUUUUCUGUAUAUUUUGAAUAUUUGUUUAAAUGUGAUCACCUUCUGCUUCUAACAACAGAGGAUU